AUGACUGUAUCUAAUCCCAAUCACUUCCUAAAGUCCCCACCCCAAAACACCAGUAAGUUUCCAUUUACACCCUCACUCUGGGGAUCCGAUUUCAACACACUAACCCUUAGAGGCCACUCAGACCACACCCAACCACAGCAUCUACUCCGAGACCGAAACAGAGACCAAGACCGGCUUCCAGGAGCAGAGUGCUGGGGGCAGGCAGGCUCUCAGGAGGUGAGACCUCUGAUGUUGGCAUGCCAGGCUGAAGAAUUCGGGCUGGAUUCACACAGAAGUGAGGACGUUUUUAUUUGUUUGUUUGUUCUCUGCAGAACUAGCAACAAAACUGAGAGCCUUUGUACUGAGCUACACCCCCAGCCCUUCCUUUAAUUUUUUUAUGUCAAGACAGAGUCUAAGUUGCUCGAUUCUCCAGGCUGGGCUUCAGUUUGUGAUUCUCCUGCUCUAGGUCUCGCAGAGCGCUGGGAUCACAGGUGUGUGUCACCUGCCCGGACAAGGAGGUUGUUUUAAUCACAGGUUUACAUACAGAGUACCCCAGACUUGCCAGGGCACAUAUUCCAGCCACACUCUUAGGACUGGAUCAGCCUUAAAAGAUGACUUCUGAAACCGCAGCUCUGAAAUCCC
This 621-nucleotide long non-coding RNA is filed under the name Fukomys damarensis (Damara mole-rat). Its description in RNAcentral is "lncRNA (ENSFDAG00000031603.1)". Lineage: Eukaryota; Metazoa; Chordata; Mammalia; Rodentia; Bathyergidae. The record is from RNAcentral.